UGGCAAUGAUUAAAUAUUAUCCGCGCUUCUGAGUUUUCACUAUGAAGUAAAUGGAAUUAAUGGUUGAAUUUCUUAAUAUGAGCCA
Molecule: small nucleolar RNA, 85 nt
Organism: Vicia villosa (hairy vetch)
Lineage: Eukaryota; Viridiplantae; Streptophyta; Magnoliopsida; Fabales; Fabaceae
Source: RefSeq, a predicted model, not a curated record